Nomascus leucogenys (northern white-cheeked gibbon) is the source of this 1410-nucleotide RNA transcript. It is a transcript of the gene named U1 small nuclear ribonucleoprotein C pseudogene, with no coding region annotated. The transcript has a single exon. The record is from RefSeq and is a predicted model, not a curated record. Lineage: Eukaryota; Metazoa; Chordata; Mammalia; Primates; Hylobatidae.
CUGCACUCCAGCCUGGGUGACAGAGUGAGACUCUGUCUCAAAAAAAAAAAAAAAAAAAAGAAAAAAAGAAAAAAGACUGUUCCUUUCUUCUGGAUAUAGGCAGGGCACCUCUUGAAUAAAAGUCUUAUGACCUGCUUCAGGGCAGAAGGGCAGGGAAAGGUCAGAGAGACCUUCCAGUAAAUGCUGUUUCUCAAAUUCCUUCAGCUUGAAAUACUCAGUGUGCCAAGGUGCUGUAUUUUGGGGAUACCAUGUCCUGAACCACAUCAGGGCUACUAAGAAAUGAAUGUCUGUGCUAUGUCUUGAAGCAUCUCUGCCUGGAUAGAGCACAGUGACCCCAAGAGCUCCAUUCAGAUUCCCUUUGCUCCAUGAAGCAUUCCUGCUGUUCCCUGGACAGCUGUAAUUAAUAUGGCCCCAGAUAACACAGUUUGUGAUUUGUCAUUAUACAUCACACUCUGCCUUAUAUUUUGAGGUAAUGUUUGUAAAGUGCUUAGAGUAGUGUAGGAACAUAGUGCACACUCAAAUGAUGAUGAUGGCCAUUAUUAUUGCUGUUGUUUAUGUAUAUAUAUGUGUCAUUUCUACUCAACUGUAAGCCUUGUUGGGGUGAGGGGAGGACCUUAUUUACUGAUGGAUUCCCAAGCAAGCCUGGUUUAUGCUGCACUCACAACAGGUUCUUACAUAUAACAUUAAUGAGGAACGGAGUGGCCAACGGCCUGCAGAGCAACAUGCCCAAGUUUUAUUGUGACUACUGUGAUACAUACCUCACCCAUGACUCUCCAUCUGUGAGAAAGACACAUUGCAGUGGAAGGAAACACAAAGAGAAUAUGAAGGACUAUUAUCAGAAAUGGAUGGAAGAGCAGGCUCAGAGCCUGAUUGAUAAAACAACGGCUGCAUUUCAACAAGGAAAGAUACCUCCUACUCCAUUCUCUGCUCCUCCUCCUGCAGGGGCGAUGAUACCACCUCCCCCCAGCCUUCUGGGUCCUCCUCGCCCUGGUAUGAUGCCAGCACCCCAUAUGGGGGGUCCUCCCAUGAUGCCAAUGAUGGGCCCUCCUCCUCAUGGGUUGAAGCCAGUGGGACCUGCUCCUGGAAUGAGGCCGCCCAUGGGAGGCCACAUGCCUGGGCCCCCAAUGAUGAGACCUCCUGCCCGUCCCAUGAUGGUGCCCACUUGGCCCGGAAUGACUCAACCAGACAGAUAAGGAUAGAGGGGAGGCUUCAUUGUAUCAGUUUUAUAUUACCUGUUCUGCUUCAUCAGGAGAUCAUGCUGCUGUGAUACUGAGUUUUCUAAACAGCAUAAGGAAGACUUGCUCCCCUGUCCUAUCAAAGAGAAUAGUUUUGGAGGGGAGAAGUGGGACAAAAAAGAUGCAGUUUUCAUUUGUAUUGGGAAAUGUGAAAAUAAAAUUGUCAACUCUUUCA